RNAcentral lists this ribosomal RNA (253 nucleotides) under uncultured bacterium. RNAcentral describes it as "partial 16S ribosomal RNA". It matches the Rfam family "Bacterial small subunit ribosomal RNA", at positions 524 to 776 of the family's 1533-position model. The record is from RNAcentral.
UACGGAGGGUGCAAGCGUUAAUCGGAAUUACUGGGCGUAAAGCGCACGCAGGUGGCUGAGUCAGUCGAUUGUGAAAUCCCCGAGCUUAACUUGGGAAUUGCGCUCGAAACUACGUGGCUCGAGUGUGGCAGAGGAAGGUGGAAUUCCACGUGUAGCGGUGAAAUGCGUAGAGAUGUGGAGGAACACCGAUGGCGAAGGCAGCCUUCUGGGCCAACACUGACGCUCAUGCACGAAAGCGUGGGGAGCAAACAGG